RNAcentral lists this non-coding RNA (237 nucleotides) under Paenibacillus mucilaginosus. RNAcentral's name for it is "T-box sequence". It matches the Rfam family "T-box leader". From Rfam's summary of the family: Uncharged tRNA acts as the effector for transcription antitermination of genes in the T-box leader family. T-boxes are found upstream of many aminoacyl-tRNA synthetase genes and some amino acid biosynthetic genes usually in Gram-positive bacteria. The record is from RNAcentral. Lineage: Bacteria; Bacillati; Bacillota; Bacilli; Caryophanales; Paenibacillaceae.
ACAAAUGCUUUGAUGGAGAAAAGUAAUUCAAUGCCUUCUUACAGGGAGGGAACGCCGAAGACUGAGAGCGUUUCUGGGGAUAAGGAUUGAAUGAAGUUCACUCCGGAGCAGUCCCUUGAAACCAAUUUUUGGUGAGUAGAGGUGUACCGGUUUUUUACCGUUAUUUGUUUAAGUGAGAGCAUUUCUUUUAUCGGAAUGUUCUAAUAUAGGGUGGUACCGCGGCUCCUCGUCCCUUUC